ACAGCGGGAAGCCAGGCGGCGACGCCGAGCGGAACCCGAAAACCUGUCUCAGUUCGGAUCGGAGUCUGCAACCCGACUCCGUGAAGCUGGAUUCGCUAGUAAUCGCGCAUCAGCCAUGGCGCGGUGAAUACGUUCCCGGGCCUUGUACACACCGCCCGUCAAGCCAUGGAAGCCGGGGGUGCCUGAAGUGUGCAGCCGCAAGGAGCGCCCUAAGGUAAAACCGGUGACUGGGGCUAAGUCGUAACAAGGUAGC
RNAcentral lists this ribosomal RNA (253 nucleotides) under uncultured bacterium. RNAcentral describes it as "partial 16S ribosomal RNA". It matches the Rfam family "Bacterial small subunit ribosomal RNA", at positions 1239 to 1500 of the family's 1533-position model. The record is from RNAcentral.